CCUACGGGUGGCAGCAGUGAGGAAUAUUGGUCAAUGGGCGAGAGCCUGAACCAGCCAAGUCGCGUGAGGGAAGACGGUCCUAUGGAUUGUAAACCUCUUUUGCCGGGGAGCAAAAAGCUGUACGCGUACCGCAUCGCGAGUACCCGGAGAAAAAGCAUCGGCUAACUCCGUGCCAGCAGCCGCGGUAAUAGGGGGGAUGCGAGCGUUAUCCGGAUUUAUUGGGUUUAACGGAUGCGCAGGGGGAGAGUUAAGUCAGCGGUAAAAUUUCGGGGCUCAACCCCGACAAGCCGUUGAAACUGGGUGGCUAGAGUGGGCGAGAAGUAUGCGGAAUGCGUGGUGUAGCGGUGAAAUGCAUAGAUAUCACGCAGAACUCCGAUUGCGAAGGCAGCAUACCGGCGCGCAACUGACGCUGAGGCACGAAAGCGUGGGUAUCGAACAGGAUUAGAUACCCGUGUAGUC
Molecule: ribosomal RNA, 459 nt
Filed under: uncultured bacterium
Lineage: Bacteria
Description: partial 16S ribosomal RNA
Rfam family: Bacterial small subunit ribosomal RNA
Source: RNAcentral